This 103-nucleotide small nuclear RNA is filed under the name Carlito syrichta (Philippine tarsier). The record is from RNAcentral. Lineage: Eukaryota; Metazoa; Chordata; Mammalia; Primates; Tarsiidae.
UUGCUCCGGCAGCACAUAUACUAAAAUUGGAAAGAUAUAGAGAAGAUUAGCAUGACCUCUGCAAAAAAUAGUCUUUUUAACAAAUGAUGUUGGAAUAACUGGA